AGAGUUUGAUCCUGGCUCAGCCUGAACGCUGGCGGCGUGGCUAAGACAUGCAAGUCGCACGGUGUAGCAAUACACAGUGGCGAACGGGUGAGUAAUGAAUCGCUAAUGUACCCCGGACUCUGGGAUAGCCGGCCGAAAGGCCGGGUAAUACCAGAUGAUAUGACCGAGCCGCAUGGUUUGGUCCUCAAAGGUCCGCCGGUCUGGGAGCAGGCGAUUUCGUAUCAGCUAGUUGGUGAGGUAACGGCUCACCAAGGCGACGACGCGUAGCCGGACUGAGAGGUUGGCCGGCCACAUUGGGACUGAGACACUGCCCAGACUCCUACGGGGGGCUGCAGUAACGAAUCUUCCGCAAUGCACGAAAGUGUGACGGAGCGACGCCGCGUGUAGGACGAAGCCCUUCGGGGUGUAAACUACUGUCAGGGGUUACCAAGUUCUGAGGAGCCCCAGAGGAAGGCACGGCUAACUCUGUGCCAGCAGCCGCGGUAAGACAGAGGUGCCAAGCGUUAGGCGGAAUCACUGGGCUUAAAGCGUGUGUAGGCGGGUUCCUAAGUACCUUGUGAAAUCCCCCGGCUC
This 573-nucleotide ribosomal RNA is filed under the name uncultured bacterium. RNAcentral describes it as "bacterial SSU rRNA". It matches the Rfam family "Bacterial small subunit ribosomal RNA", at positions 8 to 610 of the family's 1533-position model. The record is from RNAcentral.